CUUCCAGAAGCCUCCCAGACCGACUUUUUUGCUCUCUUUUCUUCCUCUUUCUCCUUCACUCCCUCAGACGACUACCUCCUCAACUGCGGCUCUUCCUCCAACGCCGCCUUCUUCAACCACUUUAAGUUGUUGGGUUUACACAAGAAGUGAAACACAGAGACACAUCCGUUCGAUCUUUUGUUGUUGGUUGCUUAUCAAAGGAGUGUUGAGAACGAGAGGAUUUUCAUCUGUGCCCUGUUUGCCGGCAUGAAAGUUUUUGCUGGAUCUUCAGGAUUGCCUGCUUUUCUGAGUUAAAGUUUUGCAGUUCUCUAAGGUUGAAUUGCUCCCACAAGGCUUGGAAACCUGGUUUCAAUUGUUUCCAGUAGGUUUGGACAUCCGGUUUCUUUUACAGAAGAAAUACUGAAAGCGAAGUAGAGAUUCAUAGAAAGAUUUGGAUCAGGUUUGGGAGGGAUCUUUCAGCAAAAGAAGAGACACUAGAAACGGUGUGCUAUCAGCUUCUGUAACUGUGGAUUCAGUUAUGGCGUCAAAGAUGAGAUGCAGCAGAACAAAAAAAAUUGAUACAACAAGGUCAUGCUGAAAAUUAUAAUGAUCAAAGGAGAAUGCAAGAAAUCUAUAAUCAUCAGAAUUUUGUUUCCAGUACAGUUCAAAGUGAAGGUUCUGUUUUUAAGAGAGGUCAACAUUCUGAGGUUAAAUCAAGGAUAUCAAGACGUGCAUUUGAGUUAGCAAUGACAGAACAGAAUCAAUGUCUAGACAGUCAGUAUAGUUCUGUAUGUCAAAAUGUGAAUAUAUCUGAACAUCGGAACAAACGAUUUAGAGAAACAUUGGAGCAUUCAGAAAGUAGUAGUUCUUCUCAAUUUGUGCAGACCGAUGAAAUUAUACAUACAUCUAAAGCCGAAACACUAUUCCUCGACACUGUUCAUUCAACUGUUCAUUUAACAUUGAAAUGACGUUUUUGCCCUUCUAUUGGAUUGGAAGAUGUUCUUUGCCCGAUCUACGGUUCUGAGACCGUCAAUUUGUUUUGGUGAAAGGAAAAAAAGAGUGAUCGAUAGAGAGAGACUGUGAGAGGAAAAAAAGAGUGAUCGAUCUAGAUUUAGAAACUGUGAAAGGAGACAUAAUUUAGAAAGAAGGAGAACUGGGAUCUGAUUCUGGAUUUGUUUUUGGUUGCUUGGAAGGGUUUGACUUACCCACAUCGGUUGAUAGUCGGUAAUUUAGAAAGAAGGAGAAGAAGGAUUUGAAGCCGGUUUUGCUCUUUGUCGUUGGUGAAUUAGGGCCUGUCGCUGUCAAUUUGGAUCAGAGGGUCGGUUUUGAAGAGAAAGAGAGAGAAAGGUUGUCGUUCAGACCCAAAAAACAAAAACAAAAACAAAAGAAAGGUUUGUGGUGUUUGAAGAGGAUUUGGUUUCAACAGUACCGAAUUUGUGGCUUUAGUGAGUUUGACAAGAGUUUUCUUUGUAAAGUCUGAGGCAUUCAAAUAGAAAAGGGAAGAAGGGAAAUCAGUUUCAUCUCGAAUUUCAUAGAAAAUCAGCAUUCUCAUACAUCUAUAUGCACAGGAACAAAAAGAAUAAAGCUGCAAGUACAUCUGUCCAGCAUAACAGAAGGACAAUGCUUCAACAUGUAACCAAUGCUUUUUCUCAUACAUUCUGUUUCACUUGGACUUCCACAAAUUCAUCUCUAUGAUCGUACAUUAGUAAUUCCCGCAGCAAAGCGCGGGUGCUCUUUCUAGUUAUAUAUAAACACUACCAGACACCCUACCUUUUAGAAGUAAACAGUUUUCAAUAUUAUUGAAGUGCAAUUGAGAUAUUAACGCAUGGUAUAUACAUUACAGUCCUCAUUGUGGAACAAAUUCUCUAUCUUCUCUUAUCCACUUUUUGGUUGUGGGGUGUCUGAGCUUCGUUUGUGAAGCAUUUUCUCAAACUCUUUCCUUCGUCUUUUAACUUUCGGAGUUCUGUAGGUACGUCCUUAAAAUAGCAAAAUGCUUUUCUUUAUGACCA
Molecule: long non-coding RNA, 1988 nt
Organism: Rosa rugosa (rugosa rose)
Lineage: Eukaryota; Viridiplantae; Streptophyta; Magnoliopsida; Rosales; Rosaceae
Exons: 10
Source: RefSeq, a predicted model, not a curated record